RNAcentral lists this long non-coding RNA (1168 nucleotides) under Anas platyrhynchos platyrhynchos (common mallard). RNAcentral's name for it is "lncRNA (ENSAPLG00000024944.1)". The record is from RNAcentral. Lineage: Eukaryota; Metazoa; Chordata; Aves; Anseriformes; Anatidae.
GGACUAUGCAGCGGGAAUAUGUGAGAUAGCUAUACUUACUCUCAUAUAAGUGUCUGAUGAUGGUCACAGCUAGUGAGAGAAUGUUGGGCUCAAGGGAAUUUCUGAUUCUUGGCUGCUUUUAUGAUACUAAGUUAUGACUCCUGACUUCACAUCAUUCCCCAGGUUUCCAACACAGACUGGAUGGGCUGCUUUGUGCUGCCUGAAUUCUGUCAUGGCUCAGAGUUUUCAUAUGUGGAUGAGGGUACACAAGAAUUCUGGCCUUCUAUGAAGUUGACUGAACAAGAACUGAAAAGGGGAGAACAUAUCAAACCUGACAUUUAAAGGUUCAAACCUUCAAUGUACUGAGCACAUAGUCUAAAGAAAACAAUUAUGGAAUUUUCUUGUCUUGUAUCCUGAAUUCUCCUGCAGAACUCCUUGACACUAAGCUGCCUUACUGUAACAUGAUGUAGUUCAAAAGUGAUUUAAUAUUCCUCACAGAGCAGGUAACACUUCGCUCUAAUGCUCUGCAUUGAGCAAAGCAACAAAAGGCUAUGGGAAAACAUUUAGCCAUGUGCUCCUGAGGAAAAAAAAAUGCCUCUGUUCCUCCCUGUCUAAUCUUUCUGCAGAUCAGAAUGCUAUCUUAAGAAAGAGGAAUAUUGUACAAGUUUCCAUAAGUUUUAUGAGCCAAUUAUUACAGAUAUAAUUGUCAAAGGUUAUAGAGGUCUAUAGAUGUCUUAUUUUCCAUAGGCCAGUGCCCUUUUAUGCUCCUCUUUUAUAGUUAAUGCAAUGCCUCAUUUAAUAAUUGAAAAAUAAUUUAUUUGAGUUAAAUUGCUUUUUUAGAAGGCAUAAUCUUAUCAUUCUCAUUUUUAUAAGAAACUCAUUUUAAUUUGUUUGCUGUGCCAUUCUCACAUGAAUUUAGGAAUUUAAUGGAGUGAAAAUUGAAUGCUGAUGGCAUCAAUGAAAUUAUUAAUUUGGUAACCGAAAGAUUUAUUUGGUUGAUUUAGAUGGAAUUUUCAAUACCCAGUUAUCUUUGGACUCUAUUAAAGAAUGAAGUUUCACCAAAUAACAGUUCUCACUCAGAGUUCCCCAGGAUGAAUUGAAAAGGACAUCUUCAUUAUUGCUAUUGAUGUUAAUGUGGAAAUCACUUACUAUUAAUAAACCUGAGGGACAGAUAAAGGCUUAUUUUUAC